AGUGAACGCUGGCGGUAGGCCUAACACAUGCAAGUCGAACGGCAGCACAGUAAGAGCUUGCUCUUACGGGUGGCGAGUGGCGGACGGGUGAGGAAUACAUCGUAAUCUACUUUUUCGUGGGGGUUAACGUAGGGAAACUUACGCUAAUACCGCAUACGACCUACGGGGGAAAGCAGGGGAUCUUCGGACCUUGCGCGAUUGAAUGAGCCGAUGUCGGAUUAGCUAGUCGGCGGGGUAAAGGCCCACGAAGGCGACGAUCCGUAGCUGGUCUGAGAGGAUGAUCAGCCACACUGGAACUGAGACACGGUCAAGACUCCUACGGGAGGCAGCAGUGGGGAAUAUUAGACAGUGGUCGCAAGUCUGAUCCAGCCAUACCGCGUGGGAGAAGAAGGCCUUCGGGUUGUAAAGCCGUUUUGUGGGGAAAGAAAAGCAGCAGCUUAAUACCACGCUGUUCUGACGGUACCCAAAGAAUAAGCACCGGCUAACUUCGUG
This 492-nucleotide ribosomal RNA is filed under the name uncultured bacterium. RNAcentral's name for it is "partial 16S ribosomal RNA". It matches the Rfam family "Bacterial small subunit ribosomal RNA", at positions 29 to 507 of the family's 1533-position model. The record is from RNAcentral.